GCCCAGGUAGCUCAGUUGGUAGAGCAGGGGACUGAAAAUCCCCGUGUCGGCGGUUCAAAUCCGUCCCUGGGCACCA
RNAcentral lists this transfer RNA (76 nucleotides) under Skermanella aerolata. Its description in RNAcentral is "tRNA-Phe". It matches the Rfam family "tRNA". Rfam says of the family: Transfer RNA (tRNA) molecules are approximately 80 nucleotides in length. Their secondary structure includes four short double-helical elements and three loops (D, anti-codon, and T loops). Lineage: Bacteria; Pseudomonadati; Pseudomonadota; Alphaproteobacteria; Rhodospirillales; Azospirillaceae. The record is from RNAcentral. RNAcentral also lists the same sequence under 9 other names.